GAGUUUGAUCCUGGCUCAGGACGAACGCUGGCGGCGUGCUUAACACACGCAAGUCGAACGGAGCGAUUUAUUUCGGUAAAUCGCUUAGUGGCAAACGGGUGAGUAACGCGUAGGCAACCUGCCCUCGGGAUGGGGACAACGGCUCGAAAGAGCCGCUAAUACCGAAUGACGUAUCUCUCUCACAUGGGAGAGAUACUAAAGAUGGGUCAAACCAUCGCCCGAGGAUGGGCCUGCGUCUGAUUAGCCAGUUGGUGAGGUAACGGCUCACCAAAGCAACGAUCAGUAGCCGGUCUGAGAGGAUGAACGGCCACAAUGGGACUGAGACACGGCCCAUACUCCUACGGGAGGCAGCAGUGGGGAAUCUUCCGCAAUGGGCGAAAGCCUGACGGAGCAACGCCGCGUGAGUGAAGAAGGUCUUCGGAUCGUAAAGCUCUGUUGUCGGGGACGAAAGGAAAGGGGAGGCAAUGCCCUUUUUAAGACGGUACCCGACGAGGAAGCCACGGCUAACUACGUGCCAGCAGCCGCGGUAAUACGUAGGCGGCAAGCGUUGUCCGGAAUUAUUGGGCGUAAAGGGAGCGCAGGUGGGACGGUAAGUCUGUCUUAAAAGG
RNAcentral lists this ribosomal RNA (608 nucleotides) under uncultured bacterium. RNAcentral describes it as "bacterial SSU rRNA". It matches the Rfam family "Bacterial small subunit ribosomal RNA", at positions 9 to 601 of the family's 1533-position model. The record is from RNAcentral.